Molecule: long non-coding RNA, 4962 nt
Filed under: Homo sapiens (human)
Lineage: Eukaryota; Metazoa; Chordata; Mammalia; Primates; Hominidae
Description: HSALNT0101899
Source: RNAcentral
ACCCGGGAGGCAGAGCUUGCAGUGAGCCUAGAUCGUGCCACUGCACUCCAGCCUGGGCAACAGAGCAAGAUUCUGUCUCAAAAAAUAAAUAAAAUAAAUAAAUAAAUAAAUAAAUAAAUAAAAAGAAGAAAGCCCCUGAUGGCUCAGCCCUUGGUAAGAGUGUAUUCCUGCUAAAGAUGGAGGUUAAAUGCUUAGAAUUGCUGAACAGUUACCUCCUUUGCAACGGUUAUUAAGCAGAGUAGCUGAUUUUUAAUUAGAUUUAAAUGUGUGACUCACUAAUGGUUAAUGACAAACAAUUUAAUUAUCGGGCCUUUCAUUUUUUCUGGAAAGCCUCAGACUGCUCCUGGAAUCCUUAAUGUGGGCAUGUGAAGAAUAUGGGCAUUAAUGGGUCUCAGAAGUUUUUCUGUUUUAUCUUGUGGACAAAGGCACAAAUGGUUAACUCGAUUUUAUUGAAUGUCUCUUCAUAGUCAAGAUAAGGUUAAUGCCCCUGGGGGCUUGGAGAUCCACACCAGGACACAGCCCCAUUGGUUGGCUUCAUUGCCUGCUCUCUUACCCUCCUGGAUCCAGCUCCUGAAAGUGUUUUACUUUUUACCAGGAUGCUUCUAGAGGAUGUCAACUGAUUAGCCAAUCAAGUUGCAUAAUUGAUUUUGCCACAUGGAUGAAGACAACUUGAACAAGGGCAACAUGGACAGCAGAGAGGCACUAGAGCAUGAUAGUCUAAAGCAUGGAUUCCUGUGUCACCUAGUAUGAGUAGAUCCCCGAGGUCUAGCACAUACAGCUGUGAAAGCUUGGGCAAAUUGUCUUAGGACUUCAGUUUUCUCAUCUGCAAAAUGGGGACAAUAAGUGUAUAUAACUCAUAGGAUUGUAAUGGUUAUAGGCGACAACUGUGACAAUACCUAACAUUAAUUGAAUGCUUCUUUUUGUGCCAAUGAUGAGAAAGAUGGACGUGAUUAGCUUUGCCCCUGGCACAUAAGCAUUUUCAUUAGCUAUUCGUAUUAUUAUUUAAUACUACCUGUCAAACCCAUUUCGACAAACUUCAAGAGAUCAUCAACUUCUUUUGCCAUAUCAGAAUUCUGACCUACCGAAAAUCGCUCUUUAUAAGUGGGUCAGGGAUGGAGCUUGGAAAUCUUUUUUGUUAUGUACAAUUUCACCUAUAAUUUAUUUUCCAUUUUAAUCUAAUGCAUAAUUGAACACACUUUUAGAAUAUCACAUUAUAUAUUGCUUCUAUUACUCUCAGAAAUACUUUGUCUUUGUCAUAGGGUAUUACUAAAUCUAGCUGAAUUUCCAACUUCCCAAGAACCUGAUAAACAGGCUCAUUUUUCUUCACAGAUUAGUAAGGAGAAGGAAAUUAACUCUGAAUCCUGAUUCUUGUCUAUAGUUUAAGGGAAAAAAAUACAGUUAAAGUGACUUGAAAUCAUAGUCAUAAUCAAAAUGAUGGGGUUAUUCUGCAGCUGUCAGGGGUACCCAUGAGCUGCAAAGUAGCACCUGCAAUAACAGCCUUGAUUUUCUAAUCCAUUUCACAAUCCACUCUUGGCAUGAAGCACGUUCUACCUUUCGAACUGUCAGAUUCUUGGGCUGAGCAAAUUGGGUACAGCUUUUCGAUUACACAUUCAGUUCUUUCCCAGCUUUAAAACUGAUUUCACAUUACCAGUAUGAUUUAUCAAGGAGAGAGCCAUCUUAAGGCACAAGCCUAAGUUAUAGAGGUGGCCCUGGGGUGUAAGCAAAAGCACUGCAGAAUUUCAGAUAUAAUAAAACAGGGUGAGCCUGCUAUUACCUGUGUCCUAGAUACAAAAGAUACUCUUCUGAUAGCCUGGAACAGCUGGCACCAACACCUCACUUUAUUAGGGGGCUGCUGUUUCCAUAUUUCCAGGCCAGGAAGCCCUAUUUCUUAGUAGCUAGAAUUGUAUUCAUUAAAAAAAACAAACAAACCAGGUUUGUAUCACUCUUACCAAGCAAUCAAGCAUAGUCUGUUGAUUAGGGCCAGCCUGAAGCCAACUAGUCGGGUAAAGUUAGCUGUCUUCUUUCCAAUUAGUGCUUCUUGCCCCUCCUCCAUAGGCCUGCCCAAGGCAUCCAAUACCUAUGCUUCCCACUUCCUUCUAGCAAAACCAGCUCUCACACCCUUUAAUCAAGCCUCAGUACAGUUGACCCUUGAACAAUGCAGGAAUUAGAGGCUCUGACCUCGUGCACAGUAAAAAACCUGCAUAACUUUUGACUCCCCCAAAAUUAACUAAUAGCCUACUAUUGACCAGAAGCCUUACCCAAAACAUAAACCAAUAACAUAUGUGACUAACCAUAUUUUAUAUAGGUAUUAUACACUAUAUUCUUUUUUUGUGUGUGUGUGUGUUUUAUUUAUUAUUAUUAUACUUUAAGUUUUAGGGUACAUGUGCACAAUGUGCAGGUUAGUUACAUAUGUAUACAUGUGCCAUGCUGGUGCGCUGCACCCACUAACUUGACAUCAGUAUAUUCUAUGAUAAAGUAAACUAGAGAAAAGAAAAUGUUAUUAAGAAAAUCAUAAAGGGCCAGGUGUGGUGGCUCACGCCUGUAAUCCCAACACUUUGGAAGGCUGAGGCAGUGAAUUGCUUGAGCCCAGGAGUUUGAGACCAGCCUGGGCAACAUAGCAAAUACAAAAAAUAUGAAAAUUAGCUGGGCAUGGUGGCACAUGCCUGUAGUUACAGUUACUUGGGAGGCUGAGGUGGGAGGUUCACUUGGGAUGGGAGGUUGAGGCUGCAGUGAGCUAUGAUUGUGUCACUGAACUCCACCUUGGACAACAGAGUGAGACCCUGUCUCAAAAAUAAUCGUAAGGAAGAGAAAAUAUAUUUACCAUUCAUUAAAUGGAAGUGGACCAUCAUAAAGGUCUUCAUCCUCGCCAUCUUCACAUUGAGUAGGCUGAGGAGGAGGGAGAGGAUGGGUUGGUCUUGCUGUCUCAGGGGUGGCAGAGGCAGGAGAAAAUCCACAACCCACAUAUAAAUGGACCUGCACAGUACAAACCCAUGUUGUUCAAGGGUCACCUGUACUGUAAUGUGCUUGAUCUUCUUAAGGCUUUUACUUUUGCUCUCCCAACUCAUUACACUGUCAGAGGCCAAAUCCCUAACUGGGGGACAGUGUAAUGGAGGAACAAUUGAAUGAGAAGAUUGGACGUUCAAAGUCUGGGUUUUAGAUCUGCUAUCUAUCAGGCUUUUCACCCACCCAUUCACUCUGGGCCCUCAGUUUCUUUACCUGUCAAAUGGCUAGGUUGGAGAAUCUGGAUUUUUAUAACUCAUAGGCUCAUGGAUCAUUAGUGAUGCUCAUUCUGCAGAAGAGGAAAGCAAAAUACAGCAUUAUUUCUUUUCUCUGCUCUGAUGUUCUGCAAUUCUAAGAGUUGGAAUCUAAACUCAUGGGGAAACAUUUUGAGGAUGUUAACACAUUAUCCCUGAAUAUAUACCUCAUCAUGGGCACGGAGAUGGGGCAGGAACUGGUAUGAAUUCAGUGUCUUGUGAAGUGCAUGCUGUGGCCCAUAGGAUUCUCACUGCUGCUCUUUGAAGAAUAUAAUGUUAUUGUCAAAAUGGAGGUGAGGAUAUCGAGACUCAGGACUUACCCAAGGCUAUACCACUAGAAAGUGGCAAGGUCUAUCAAUUUUCCCAGUGUCUACCACAAGACUGGCCCCAUGCAUAAUAUCUGACUUGAAAGAUAAUUCUGGGAAAAUUCCUGUGAUCCCAGGUGGGAAGUCCCAGCUGCUCUGCUUGUUGGCCCAUCCCCAACAUUCUCGUGUUCAAAGAAUCUGGAUUUCUUUAGACUCAAGAGUCCAGCAUAAGAUGGGUAGUUGCACCUAAGACAGUGCCAACGAACACACUUUACCUGGGGCCAGCUUCAACCAUAGGUACUGGGUAGGUGACCAGCUAGUGUUGUUGGAAGAAGAUUGUAAGGUCUCCUGUUACAGCCCAUCUGUUCUGUUAGGGUGGUCAGCUUGUCUCAAUCUCCCUGGGAUGUUCUCAGUUUUUUUUUAAUUUUUUAAUUAUUAUACUUUACCUUCUAGGGUGCAUGUGCACAACGUGUGGUUUUGUUACAUAGGUAUACAUGUGCCAUGUUGGUUUGCUGCACCCAUUAACUCGUCAUUUACAUUAAGUAUUUCUCCUAAUGCUAUCCCUCCCCCAGCCACCCAUCCCAUGACAGGCCCUGGUGUGUGAUGUUCCCCGCCCUGUGUCCAAGUGUUCUUAUUGUUCAAUUCCCACCUAUGAGUGGGGAUGUUCUCAGUUUUAAAACUGAUACUCCCAGGUCUAGAGAACUCCCUCUGUCCCAAGAAAAUGGAAUGGUUUGUCAUCCUACAAUUUCCUGAGCUCUGAAUUUCUGUAAUUGGGAGAAUAUACCUUAUACUCUAUAUUCAAUACAAAUAAAACAAAUUUCUUCCUGUUGGCAUGUUACCUUAUCAAACUUGGAGGUUAUGUUUGAGAUGCAAAUAGAGACUUCUAUGGAGUAUGCAAAGUUUAUUUUGGGGCAGGAAGACUCUCAAAUGAGCCAAAACCUGGAUGCAGUAAGAAGCCUCGAGAUUGUUGGUUGGGAAAGCAAUGCCACAGAUACAUUCUCAUGAGCACAAGCCAUGCUCCAGACUGAUGCUCCCAAUUGCAGGGUUGAGGUGCAAUAAAGCUGCUUCCCACCUGAGUAAGUCUGUUGGUUAAGAAGCAGGCGAGUGGCCACAGAGAACUGUUUGUUUAACCAGGAACUACAGUUAUUGGUUCUGUUCAGCCAACCUGGAAAAAUCGGGUAAUUACAAUUGCAAGGGGCAAACUCUAACUUAAAGGUACAUGCACAAGCUCAGAUGUGGAUACUGACAUAGUUUGGAUGUGUGUCCCCACCCAAAUCUCAUAUUGAAAUGUAAUCCCCAAUGUUGGAGGUGGGGCCUGGUGGGAGGUGAUUGGAUCAUGGGGCCAGAUUUCUCAUGAAUAUACACAGAAAGAUUUGCCCACCCUUGUUCUAACUGAAGGGAGA